CGUCUUCAGGGCAGGGUGAAAUUCCCGACCGGCGGUAAAGUCCGCGAGCUGUUUACAGCAUGAAUUGGUGCAAUUCCAAUACCGAUAGUACAGUCUAGAUGGAAGAGAG
RNAcentral lists this non-coding RNA (109 nucleotides) under Beduini massiliensis. Its description in RNAcentral is "FMN riboswitch (RFN element)". It matches the Rfam family "FMN riboswitch aptamer (RFN element)", at positions 9 to 130 of the family's 138-position model. From Rfam's summary of the family: The RFN element is a highly conserved domain that is found frequently in the 5'-untranslated regions of prokaryotic mRNAs that encode for flavin mononucleotide (FMN) biosynthesis and transport proteins. Lineage: Bacteria; Bacillati; Bacillota; Erysipelotrichia; Erysipelotrichales; Erysipelotrichaceae. The record is from RNAcentral.